AGCAGAAGAAAGAAAUUAAUACAGGUUCGGGACAAGAUGAGAGUGAGUAAAUAAUGACAGAAUUUAAAUUUUUGGGUGAACUAUCCCUGUAAU
Molecule: long non-coding RNA, 93 nt
Organism: Sinocyclocheilus grahami
Lineage: Eukaryota; Metazoa; Chordata; Actinopteri; Cypriniformes; Cyprinidae
Exons: 3
Source: RefSeq, a predicted model, not a curated record